Molecule: long non-coding RNA, 349 nt
Filed under: Physcomitrium patens
Lineage: Eukaryota; Viridiplantae; Streptophyta; Bryopsida; Funariales; Funariaceae
Description: long non-coding RNA (PPAT_LNC008165)
Source: RNAcentral
AUUACUUUUAAGAAGUUGUUAUAAUCUAUAGGACAAACAAAGAGACAUUUAGAAAAUACUCCCAUAAUUGAAGUUGUAUAAAUAAAGAUUGUUAUAUACAAUAACUUGAGUGCCAAAAACCAUCAUUGAGUAUGCAAACAAAAAUCAAUUAAGAAAGUAUAUCAAACACACUUUUAAAUAUUCCUUUUAAUUGAUUAGGAGCCUUGUUAAUUAGCUAGGAUGACAACAAAUGUGCAAUGAAAAAUGAAUGUCAUAGUGAUGACAUUGCAAAAAUAAUAUACAUCUAAGUUGAUGUUGUAGCAACUAGACUACCAAAAUACUUGGCAAAACUAGGAGUUAUCAACUCUUG